This 490-nucleotide ribosomal RNA is filed under the name uncultured bacterium. RNAcentral's name for it is "partial 16S ribosomal RNA". It matches the Rfam family "Bacterial small subunit ribosomal RNA", at positions 30 to 507 of the family's 1533-position model. The record is from RNAcentral.
AUUGAACGCUGGCGGCAGGCCUAACACAUGCAAGUCGAACGGUAACAGGAAGCAGCUUGCUGCUUUGCUGACGAGUGGCGGACGGGUGAGUAAUGUCUGGGAAACUGCCCGAUGGAGGGGGAUAACUACUGGAAACGGUAGCUAAUACCGCAUAACGUCGCAAGACCAAAGAGGGGGACCUUAGGGCCUCUUGCCAUCGGAUGUGCCCAGAUGGGAUUAGCUAGUAGGUGGGGUAACGGCUCACCUAGGCGACGAUCCCUAGCUGGUCUGAGAGGAUGACCAGCCACACUGGAACUGAGACACGGUCCACACUCCGACGGGAGGCAGCAGUGGGGAAUAUUGCACAACGGGCGCAAGCCUUAUGCAGCCAUGCCGCGUGUAUUAAGAAGGCCUUCGGGUUGUAAAGUACUUUCAGCGGGGAUGAAGGGAGUAAAGUUAAUACCUUGGCUCAUUGACGUUACCCGCAGAAGAAGCACCGGCUAACUCCGUG